Molecule: unclassified non-coding RNA, 325 nt
Filed under: Hevea brasiliensis (rubber tree)
Lineage: Eukaryota; Viridiplantae; Streptophyta; Magnoliopsida; Malpighiales; Euphorbiaceae
Source: RNAcentral
AUAAUACCUUAUUUACAGAAUAGAAAUGCUCCAAUUAAAUAUUGAAUAAAAGAAUCUCUAACAAGCCAAGAACCAAGAAGCCAAAACACUUGCACUCUUUCCUCUUAUGGUCAUUAUUUCCUUUUUGAAAAUGGUGCAUAUCCUACACUUUUUUUUUCUUGUAAUUUACUACAAAAAAGUGUAUCAAGGGAAUAGGCCUUUUGUCCUUAUAUAGUUUUGUGUUGCAACUCUUGGUUAUAUUGCAAUUCUUGGUUAUAUUGCAUGGAAGAUAAGGUCACCUUCGGCCAAUAGCUAUGUCCUUUAGCAAAGCAAUCAGCCCAUAGAU